CUGCGAGUUCGCGGGAGAGUAAGUUAUUGCCAGGGUUUUUAUUUUAUACUUUAAACCUUGAAUUUAUUUUUUAAACGUUUAUAUUAUUUGAAUAAAACAUUCAAAUAAUAUAAAAAAUAAUAUAUAUAUUGACAUGGAUUAAACAAAGAUAUAUAUUAUUCUAUGUUGUAUGAACAAAUUGGCAAAAUAGAGAUGGAAGAUAAAAAUAUGGUCAAAGUAAUAAGAGUCUAUGGUGAAUGCCUAGGA
This 246-nucleotide unclassified non-coding RNA is filed under the name Borreliella afzelii. Its description in RNAcentral is "partial 5S-23S ribosomal RNA intergenic spacer". The record is from RNAcentral. Lineage: Bacteria; Pseudomonadati; Spirochaetota; Spirochaetia; Spirochaetales; Borreliaceae.